UCCAGCGGUGUGUUGGUGCGUUGAUUU
This 27-nucleotide non-coding RNA is filed under the name Mus musculus (house mouse). The record is from RNAcentral. Lineage: Eukaryota; Metazoa; Chordata; Mammalia; Rodentia; Muridae.